This is a non-coding RNA of Acanthosepion pharaonis, 108 nucleotides long. The record is from the annotation of a GenBank genome assembly. NCBI's taxonomy places the organism in Eukaryota, Metazoa, Mollusca, Cephalopoda, Sepiida, Sepiidae.
GAUGACCAUAUUAUGUUGAAACAUCAGUUCUCAUAUGAUCACCAAAGUUAAGCAACAUCAAGCUUAGUCAGUACCUAGAUGGGUAACUGCUUGUGAAUACCAGGUGCU